AUGUGCUACCAAGGCCUACUGCAUUACGUUUCCACAUCCACAAUGAACCGAGAGCUGAUAUUUUAUAAUUACAAUAUGUACAUCUGGUUUCAGGGUGCAACUGAAAAGAAAAGAGGGAUAUCUAUCAAUAAUAGUUUUCAUUGUUGCUAAAAUUAGAGCUUUUUUUCACUUUUGUGUCAUUACAAUCACCUUCAGGAUACCGAAUCUCCUUUUCUGGACACAAUGCGACUGAACAAAAGAGAUAAUGCCCUGCUGGUUGGUCAUUACAGGUGCAAGAUUACACUUCAUCACAUAAAAAUGAUGUUUAAAUUUAAAGGAUGAUCCUGGCAGAUAUCAUAAUCUUGUAUCAUCAUCUUCAUAUUUUAGCUGUCCAACACUGCAGCCCAAGGGAUAUGCUAAAGAUACAUGAAAUAUGAUCCAGUAUGUUCUUUUGACUACAGAAAAAGAACAGACUAUUUCUGAUGUGUAGCACUGCCUUUCAGUACUAAUAGAGGUUUAAAAAUUGAGAACUUGAGAGCCUUUCAGUAACAAAUGGAUAGCAAGUGCAACAUUGUCAUUUUGGAGAUGACAGAAAGCACAAUUCAGCAGAAAAGAUCUUGCUUCUCCCCGCUUGCUUUGAACUUUUCAUUUUCUCUUUGCAAAUUUUCUUCAUCAUCUGCAAAUACUUAGUGUAGCCAUGUGUUAGGGAAUUACAUUAUAUUCCCUCCAACUAUGUGUCAUUAAAAUUAUUCAGCUUUGCUUUGAGAUUCAAAGUCAAUUCAUCUGCAGAUUAGUUUAACUGCCUCUGAAGUCUUCGGUCCCAAGAAAAUGCGAGCUUCAAACCUACUGCAAGCUGCACCUGUCCUGCCAGAGUGCCAAAAAGCCACAGGCAGGACCUAAAUGCUCAGAGCUACAUAAUUAUGUCGAGACCUAUUUUUACCUGUUGGUUCACUGGAGGUCUGUGAUGACACAGCCUUCUUGACAGUAAACUGGUUCAGGUAUCCUCUUCAAUCCACACUGUCUGGUGCUGGAUCAUUCUCAUAUUCUGUCCUGUAAACAGACACACCUGCAAGAGAAGAGCUCCUUGAGAUUUCAGCCGCUCUUGUGAGUUUGAACAGGGUCAAACAUACAUUGAUCCUUUUUGUUUAAACAUUUAGUUAGUUUCCUUGCCUCCUUUGAGUCUAUCUUGGCUCUGUUUGAAGAAACAAGAUGUUCUUUUCAACAUCAUAUGCAUUGUUAAAAAGGUUUCUAAAACAAAAAGCCACUGAAGUUUACCAGAGUAGUUAAAUCAGAUAAUUGUUCCAUAACUCCCCUUGUGGACACUAUCCCUCCAGAAUAAAAGAGGGUUCUGUGCUUUUAUGCUCAAUUUGCUUUAUUCAUGUUGGAACAAAACAUUUUAAACUUUUUUUUUUUUUUUUCUGGAAUAUCUACUCUGGUAAAUUUCCAAGUACAGUUGUUCCAUCAGUAGCUAAUGGGGAAGAAAAACAUAAGGCUCUCCAAGACUCCAGGGCAUAUUUUUGGAUCUAUCAACCAGCAUUCUCUAUAUUAAGUUCUUGAAGAAACUUUGUUUAAUAAUUUUGUACUAUAAAGUUACUGUUCUUGUACAAUUGCCACAAGACUCUAUAUCUGGUACAGCCCAGCAUUCAGCAAAUAGUCAUGAUAAUAAAAACAUACUGUACUGACUAAGGUUUUUGUUUUAGUUUGUGUGGGGUUUUUUUUAGGCAAAAAAUAAGAUGAAAAUACCUAGGUUUGGUGAAAGACAAUGAAAAAUUGUUACAGACAUAUUUAAGCCUUCAAGAACAGUGUCACUAGAAGCCUGUGGUGGGGUAUAUUUGUAUUUCACAAAUACACAGAAGCACAGAAAUUGCAAAAAUGUUUGCAAGAGCAUUAAAGCAGGCUAUAUUCUCAGGCCAAUUUCCCAGUAAUUUUGGCUUUAUUCCCACACUACAGUUCUGAACUCAAUAUGCUUCGCCAUAUCUGAC
Molecule: long non-coding RNA, 1961 nt
Filed under: Cairina moschata (Muscovy duck)
Lineage: Eukaryota; Metazoa; Chordata; Aves; Anseriformes; Anatidae
Description: domestica (muscovy Duck (domestic type)) lncRNA (ENSCMMG00000016578.1)
Source: RNAcentral